GGGCCCGCACAAGCAGUGGAGUAUGUGGUUUAAUUCGACGCAACGCGAAGAACCUUACCAGGUCUUGACAUCAAGUGAAAGGCUUAGAGAUAAGCCCCUCCCUUCGGGGACACGAAGACAGGUGGUGCAUGGUUGUCGUCAGCUCGUGUCGUGAGAUGUUGGGUUAAGUCCCGCAACGAGCGCAACCCUUAUAAUCAGUUGCUACAUUCAGUUGAGAACUCUGAUUAGACUGCCGUUGACAAAACGGAGGAAGGUGGGGAUGACGUCAAAUCAUCAUGCCCUUUAUGACCUGGGCUACACACGUACUACAAUGGCGAUUAACAAAGAGAAGCGAACCGGCGACGGCAAGCGAAACCCUAAAAUCGCCUCAGUUCGGAUUGGAGGCUGCAACCCGCUCUAUGAAGUCGGAAUUGCUAGUAAUCGCGAAUCAGCAUGUCG
Molecule: ribosomal RNA, 438 nt
Filed under: uncultured Bacillota bacterium
Lineage: Bacteria; Bacillati; Bacillota
Description: bacterial SSU rRNA
Rfam family: Bacterial small subunit ribosomal RNA
Source: RNAcentral